RNAcentral lists this ribosomal RNA (274 nucleotides) under uncultured bacterium. RNAcentral's name for it is "partial 16S ribosomal RNA". It matches the Rfam family "Bacterial small subunit ribosomal RNA", at positions 523 to 796 of the family's 1533-position model. The record is from RNAcentral.
AUACGGAGGGUCCAAGCGUUAUCGGGAUUCAUUGGGUUUAAAGGGUCCGCAGGCGGGAAAAUAAGUCAGUGGUGAAAGCCUACAGCUCAACUGUAGAACUGCCAUUGAUACUGUUUUUCUUGAGUAUAGAUGAAGUGGGCGGAAUAUAUCAUGUAGCGGUGAAAUGCAUAGAUAUGAUAUAGAACACCGAUUGCGAAGGCAGCUCACUAAACUAUUACUGACGCUCAGGGACGAAAGCGUGGGGAGCGAACAGGAUUAGAAACCCUAGUAGUCC